RNAcentral lists this non-coding RNA (24 nucleotides) under Cricetulus griseus (Chinese hamster). Lineage: Eukaryota; Metazoa; Chordata; Mammalia; Rodentia; Cricetidae. The record is from RNAcentral.
GUGAGGCGACUGCGGGCAGGUAAG